ACGGAGGCCUGUUUUUAAAUGUAGUGCGCUUAGUGAAUAUAUACUGGAAACGUAUAUCGGCAUUCAUUAAAUUAACACCAUGAUAAUGCUUUAUAUGCCUUCAACUUCUUUUAUAAUUGAAACAUUUAACUAUCUGAGAUGGAAAAGGAAUCUAUUUUUAACAUGCACUUGUGCCACAGAAAGUGUAAUUUAAUUACUAUUAUUAAUAAUGUUAUUAUUAUUAUUUGGAACUCUGCUUUGUAUUUCAGUUACAGGUUUGUUACUGCUUAAUACAUUCAGAUAAAACAAAAAAAAGUUAUUUUUUCAACUGCUUAAGUGCCCAAGUAAUUCACUACAUGACAUAAAGCCUUGCUUUUGUAAUUUAACUUCAAACCAGUUGGCAGAUGAAGCAUGCACUCAACUAUGAAAAAGUAUUUUAUAUUACUGUUUAAUAAAAAAUGUGCAUGUAUUUCAACUUAAAUGAAACUGUUUAUUUGUGUGUGGUAUAUUCCUAUUCUCAGAUUUCAAGUCAAUGUAAACAUAAAAAAUAAAAAAUGUAUUACAUCCUAAAUAUAUACACUUUUGGAAAUGUUUUAAUGAUGAUUUACAUGGUGUACGCCAAAACAUUCAUAAUGAGCUCUUCAUAAAUUAUUAUAUAUAGCAUACUAUUUAUUUCAGAAAUUGGAUUUCAUAGCUGCCUCCCAAAAAGCAUGUAUCUCUCUAGUCACUGGAACUUAAGAGACUUGGCUUAAAGGAGAAUUCUGCUUUUUACAACCAAAUCUCAAUUUUUGAUGUAAAUGGGACUUUGAUGUAGCUGUUCCAUUAUUAGUAGCCAUAUUAUAAGUUCAAUAUUUGCAAAACAACCAGUUUUCAUAACUUCAUAACUCUGAAUAUUCUUAUAAUUCUUGUCCAAAAGGAAAAGGCAUGCUGUAACAAUAGGUUAGCACCUACAAUUUGCAACAUAUACAGGGUUUCCGGAUACUCCCGUAAAGCCAAGCUCAUUGGCUAUCGAGCUAACUUG
This 1000-nucleotide long non-coding RNA is filed under the name Oncorhynchus kisutch (coho salmon). RNAcentral's name for it is "lncRNA (ENSOKIG00005025231.1)". The record is from RNAcentral. Lineage: Eukaryota; Metazoa; Chordata; Actinopteri; Salmoniformes; Salmonidae.